UCUGGGAGAGUAUGGGGCCCUUGGGAGCCCCAUCCAUGAAGAAAGCCUCAUCGAUGGCCAAGCCCCACUGCCGGAGGGUCUUGAUGGCUCUGGCGCCCAUGUCCCGGCCGCUGCGGGCGGUCACCAGGCUACUGGUGGGGACAGGAGAGGAGACUGAAGCGUUCAGGACUGUACUGACAUCUGUCCUGUCAGCUGAGAGGAAGAGCUUGACCCCGUGGGACUUGAGAUACUGUGUGGAGUCCUCAUCACUGACAAAGCAGAACUUGGAGAUCUCCAGGCCUUUGAGUCAGGGGAUGCAAGCAAAGUCUCUGUUAUGAGGAGUCCCACAGUGGUGGGAUUUGGGUGUUGGAGGCCUUUAGAGAAGAGGUACCAAGCCAAAUCUUCACCUUCAGGCCACCAAGCCUGAGGCAGGCAGCUGUGAAACCCUAACCUCUCUGGCAAGUGUCAAAUGCUUCUGUGAGCAGCCCACACUUGAGGACUGCUUCAUCCUUCCGAUCUUUGUGGGCAGAGCAGAGCCAUGGUCACUUGCUGGUGCUGAGCUGGGCACUGCUGGGUUUCUCUCUGCCUAUACCUGUGGCUUUGCUCUGGGUUCUGGGAAGUCUACUAAAGUCUCUACAUACAAAGGCUGCUGCUUUCUCCCUGGAUGCAAAUGCCCACAGCCCUGCAACUUCUUCCCUUAGAGGCUCCCACUGGGAGCAGGUGCCCAGCAGCUUCUGCUGAAACCCAGGCACAAGCAGCUCAAGGCACCACGGCUCCAGGUUGUGGUGUGCUGUUUUCUGUU
Molecule: long non-coding RNA, 781 nt
Organism: Pogoniulus pusillus (Red-fronted tinkerbird)
Lineage: Eukaryota; Metazoa; Chordata; Aves; Piciformes; Lybiidae
Exons: 4
Source: RefSeq, a predicted model, not a curated record